AACGAACGCUGGCGGCAUGCCUAACACAUGCAAGUCGAACGAUGCCUUCGGGCAUAGUGGCGCACGGGUGCGUAACGCGUGGGAAUCUGCCUUUCGGUUCGGAAUAACUCAGGGAAACUUGAGCUAAUACCGGAUAACGUCGCAAGACCAAAGAUUUAUCACCGAAAGAUGAGCCCGCGUAGGAUUAGCUAGUUGGUGAGGUAAAGGCUCACCAAGGCGACGAUCCUUAGCUGGUCUGAGAGGAUGAUCAGCCACACUGGGACGGAGACACGGCCCAGACUCCUACGGGAGGCAGCAGUGGGGAAUAUUGGACAAUGGGCGAAAGCCUGAUCCAGCAAUGCCGCGUGAGUGAUGAAGGCCUUAGGGUUGUAAAGCUCUUUUACCCGGGAAGAUAAUGACGGUACCGGGAGAAUAAGCCCCGGCUAACUCCGUG
This 433-nucleotide ribosomal RNA is filed under the name uncultured bacterium. RNAcentral describes it as "partial 16S ribosomal RNA". It matches the Rfam family "Bacterial small subunit ribosomal RNA", at positions 29 to 507 of the family's 1533-position model. The record is from RNAcentral.